AACGAACGCUGGCGGCAGGCCUAACACAUGCAAGUCGAACGAACCUUCGGGUGAGUGGCGCACGGGUGCGUAACGCGUGGGAAUCUACACUUUGGUGCGGAAUAACACAGAGAAAUUUGUGCUAAUACCGCAUAAUGGCUCCGGCCCAAAGAUUUAUCGCCAAAGGAUGAGCCCGCGUUAGAUUAGGUAGUUGGUGAGGUAAAAGCUCACCAAGCCGACGAUCUAUAGCUGGUCUUAGAGGACGAUCAGCCACACUGGUACUGAGACACGGACCAGACUCCUACGGGAGGCAGCAGUGAGGAAUAUUGGACAAUGGGGGCAACCCUGAUCCAGCCAUGCCGCGUGAAUGAAGAAGGCCUUAGGGUUGUAAAGUUCUUUCAGUUGCGAAGAUAAUGACGGUAACAACAGAAGAAGCUCCGGCUAAAAUUCGUGCCAGCAGCCGCGGUAAU
RNAcentral lists this ribosomal RNA (449 nucleotides) under uncultured bacterium. Its description in RNAcentral is "bacterial SSU rRNA". It matches the Rfam family "Bacterial small subunit ribosomal RNA", at positions 29 to 524 of the family's 1533-position model. The record is from RNAcentral.